RNAcentral lists this ribosomal RNA (495 nucleotides) under uncultured bacterium. RNAcentral describes it as "partial 16S ribosomal RNA". It matches the Rfam family "Bacterial small subunit ribosomal RNA", at positions 28 to 507 of the family's 1533-position model. The record is from RNAcentral.
GACGAACGCUGGCGGCGUGCCUAAUACAUGCAAGUAGAACGCUGAAGGAGGAGCUUGCUUCUCUGGAUGAGUUGCGAACGGGUGAGUAACGCGUAGGUAACCUGCCUGGUAGCGGGGGAUAACUAUUGGAAACGAUAGCUAAUACCGCAUAACAGUAGAUAUCGCAUGAUAUCUACUUGAAAGGUGCAAUUGCAUCACUACCAGAUGGACCUGCGUUGUAUUAGCUAGUUGGUGAGGUAACGGCUCACCAAGGCGACGAUACAUAGCCGGCCUGAGAGGGUGAUCGGCCACACUGGGACUGAGACACGGCCCAGACUCCUACGGGAGGCAGCAGUAGGGAAUCUUCGGCAAUGGACGGAAGUCUGACCGAGCAACGCCGCGUGAGUGAAGAAGGUUUUCGGAUCGUAAAGCUCUGUUGUAAGAGAAGAACGAGUGUGAGAGUGGAAAGUUCACACUGUGACGGUAUCUUACCAGAAAGGGACGGCUAACUACGUG